Molecule: ribosomal RNA, 484 nt
Filed under: uncultured bacterium
Lineage: Bacteria
Description: partial 16S ribosomal RNA
Rfam family: Bacterial small subunit ribosomal RNA
Source: RNAcentral
AUUGAACGCUGGCGGCAGGCCUAACACAUGCAAGUCGAGCGGAUGAAGGGAGCUUGCUCCUGGAUUCAGCGGCGGACGGGUGAGUAAUGCCUAGGAAUCUGCCUGGUAGUGGGGGAUAACGUCCGGAAACGGGCGCUAAUACCGCAUACGUCCUGAGGGAGAAAGUGGGGGAUCUUCGGACCUCACGCUAUCAGAUGAGCCUAGGUCGGAUUAGCUAGUUGGUGGGGUAAAGGCCUACCAAGGCGACGAUCCGUAACUGGUCUGAGAGGAUGAUCAGUCACACUGGAACUGAGACACGGUCCAGACUCCUACGGGAGGCCGCAGUGGGGACUAUUGGACAAUGGGCGAAAGCCUGAUCCAGCCAUGCCGCGUGUGUGAAGAAGGUCUUCGGAUUGUAAAGCACUUUACGUUGGGAGGAAGGGCAGUAAGUUAAUACCUUGCUGUUUUGACGUUACCAACAGAAUAAGCACCGGCUAACUUCGUG